RNAcentral lists this ribosomal RNA (501 nucleotides) under uncultured bacterium. RNAcentral's name for it is "bacterial SSU rRNA". It matches the Rfam family "Bacterial small subunit ribosomal RNA", at positions 1 to 507 of the family's 1533-position model. The record is from RNAcentral.
CACGAGUUUGAUCAUGGCUCAGAUUGAACGCUGGCGGAAUGCUUUACACAUGCAAGUCGAACGGUAGAGGGGGCAACCCUUGAGAGUGGCGAACGGGUGAGUAAUAUAUCGGAACGUGCCCAGUCGUGGGGGAUAACGUAGCGAAAGUUACGCUAAUACCGCAUACGAUCUAAGGAUGAAAGCGGGGGAUCGCAAGACCUCGCGCGAUUGGAGCGGCCGAUAUCAGAUUAGGUAGUUGGUGGGGUAAAGGCUCACCAAGCCAACGAUCUGUAGCUGGUCUGAGAGGACGACCAGCCACACUGGAACUGAGACACGGUCCAGACUCCUACGGGAGGCAGCAGUGGGGAAUUUUGGACAAUGGACGCAAGUCUGAUCCAGCCAUUCCGCGUGCAGGAUGAAGGCCCUCGGGUUGUAAACUGCUUUUGUACGGAACGAAAAGGUUUCUCUUAAUACGAGGAGCUCAUGACGGUACCGUAAGAAUAAGCACCGGCUAACUACGUG